This 2633-nucleotide long non-coding RNA is filed under the name Homo sapiens (human). Its description in RNAcentral is "HSALNT0290407". Lineage: Eukaryota; Metazoa; Chordata; Mammalia; Primates; Hominidae. The record is from RNAcentral.
GCGGGGAAGCGAGGGGGGGCGCCGCCCCACCCCCUUCUCCGGAAUCCCCACGCCGUGAAGUCAUAAUCCUGUGUCUGUGACACCCUGUCGGUUGCUAUGGAAACGACUCGCUGUUAAACACUGGCGUUCUCAAUGAGGGUUGCAGGGGUUCCGAGGCGGACCUGGGGAGCAGAAACCCCUGUUUAGGGUGAACCGUGGCGGGCGCCGAUGGCCUCUUGGAAGAGGACAGACUAGCAGCUGCGAGGGAGAUGGGACUGGGUUUCACCCCUGAAAGGGCCCCUGGAGACAGCGGGGAAACUGACAGGGAGAUCAUGAUGUCGCCAUUUUGAUGGGGUCCCCAGAGGAGAGAUGUCCUCCCCAACGGCUCCUGGACAGGACUGGGGAAAGAGUUCAGAUAAGUAUCUCUGUGGUCUGGGCUGUCACCUUACAACUGCACAACUCUGGACCUCCAGCAUCAGAACCACUGGGGCCUAGGUUAAUAAUACAGAUUUUCAGGCUCCAAUUUGGACAGACGAAACUGAUCUCUGGGGUGGGACCCAGGAAUCUACGUGUAAACAAGCACCCAGGGGAGUUCUGCUCACUGAAAUUUGAGAAUCCCUGAUUUAGAAGGAGGACUAUGCUCUGUGCAUGUUCUCUGAAAUGUUGGGUCAAUCAGGACCUGUCUACUGAAACUGCUCCAACCAGCCAAGGUGCAGAGAAAAGAUGCGUGCAGGGCCGAAAACCAGGGUGCUCUGGAGGCAGGGAGCCCUCGAGAAUGUAAAGCCAGCAAGCUGUUACAGAGUGAUUUGCACAGAACAGACACUCAGUUGAUAUUUGUCAAUUUGCUGUGUUUAAGAACCUUGCUGAAUUAAUUUAAAAGGUAUUUUUAAAAGAAUGAAAUUGAGGAAAAAACCUUCAAGGUUCAGAAAAUGUGAAGUUCUCAUUUACUUGUUUAUGAAAUUGUUUUUGAGUCCAAUAAAGAUGCUCAGCUAAAAUGGUUUUUUUGUUUUAAAUCUCAGAAUUAAGUUUCUCUUAGUUUUGGGCAGUUCGGUCCAGCUACUUGCAAAAGACAGGCUUCCAUAUCUCCUGUAUGCAGCCCUGAAGGACCCAACAGAAGUAAAAUAGUUAUUUAAGGAAUGCAAAGGACUAGGGACAGGAUGCAGAUUAAAAUGUUUAAGAUGAUGUCUGCAGAUGAUGUUUGUAGAUGCUUAAGUUUGUUGAAUUCUUAGUCUUCCUCACAAAGCAGCUAAUUACUUUCAAGACUCUAGUGAGCCUCAAUUUACUCCAAUUUAUGAUUUCCAAUGGUUCUGCAUAAAACUGGGUUGCCGUUUUAUGAAAUUGUUUGCAUCUGCUUGACGUGGGCGCAAACUUCACAGUGAGGAGAUAAUGUGAGGGUUUUGCCUUCUUGCAAAACAACUUACAUAUAUAUGUGAAAAAACUGGGGUUGGGGUUUGAAUUAUGUGGACUGCCUGUGCGUAGUAAGCUCUCUGGUCAGUUACCUAUUUGGCUUUGUGUGGACACAGCUCUUAGGAGGGAGGGUGGUGGAAUUCCUGCUCAUUACCUAUAGUAUCUUGCAGGAGGGCUGCUGAACGCCGGAGCCUUACAACUGUUAAACUCAGGCAGAGCUCGGGAAAUGCUGCCCGGAUGGGUGACUGAUGGAGAGGGGCUACCACUCUUCCAGCUAAACUCCGCUCUGGUUGGGACCCAGCAAUUAUUUUCCAUAGCGAAGUGUUAAUAAAAUAUCUGUUACUCCCAACACAACCUCCUGGGGGAAGGGACCUGUCUGUCUGCUUCAACUUUGGAUCCUCAGUGCCCACAUCAGGAUACCUGGCCUGAGAGCAUCCGGUGACCCAGUUUUAGGUCUCAAGGUCACUGCCAAGAAAGAGAAGCUGCUAAAGUGACACCUCUGUGCACCCACAUGACUUAACACAAAAGUUAACAGGAGCUCUUCAAAAACAAGCCUCUCGAGUGUCUGUCUCCUGUUUUCCCUGAGGACAGCAUCAGUGGCAUCAGAUAGGGGUUGGGGCUGGGUGACCUGCUGGUCCUCAGCCAUCACUGUGGCCCAGAGGUCAUUUAAGCAGCUCUCUGCUUAGCAGACAGGCAGAGGGAAUAGAUGGAAGGUACAGGUAAACACUGCAUGUGGCCACCGCGAGGAUACCCCGGAGCCUGGGAAACAGACAGGGACGUCGUAAAACCAACACAUAAUGGACCAGUGCAGAGACAGGCAAAACCAGUCAGAAGAAAUAGGAUGGUGCCUAGCCCAGGGACACCUGACUUAAGAGAGGGUCCUGCCGGUAUUACCCUGGAGGAAGGAAUGCUGCACAGAGGCCGAGAGGAAUUUGAACAGACUGGCCUUGCUGGGUUUUUAUCUCUUUUUGUCCAAUCCCAUUUUGACACAGUUGUCCAUGCUCCAAUCAUGCUUAUCCAAUGAAGUUUCCAUAACAGGCCUGAGAGGACAGGGUUCAGGAGCUUCCGGACAGCUGAGCAGGUGGAGGUUCCUGGAGGGUGGUGUGCCAGGGAGGGUGUGGAAGCUCUGCCCCUUCCCCCAUACCUUGUCCUAUGCAUUCCUUUAUCUGCAUCCUUCAUUUUAUUUUAUUUUUUUUUGAGACGGAGUCUUGCUCUUGUCGUCCAGGCUGGAAUGCAGUGGUGCGCGA